RNAcentral lists this ribosomal RNA (378 nucleotides) under uncultured bacterium. RNAcentral's name for it is "bacterial SSU rRNA". It matches the Rfam family "Bacterial small subunit ribosomal RNA", at positions 521 to 898 of the family's 1533-position model. The record is from RNAcentral.
UAAUACAGAGGGUGCGAGCGUUAAUCGGAUUUACUGGGCGUAAAGCGUGCGUAGGCGGCUUUUUAAGUCGGAUGUGAAAUCCCUGAGCUUAACUUAGGAAUUGCAUUCGAUACUGGGAAGCUAGAGUAUGGGAGAGGAUGGUAGAAUUCCAGGUGUAGCGGUGAAAUGCGUAGAGAUCUGGAGGAAUACCGAUGGCGAAGGCAGCCAUCUGGCCUAAUACUGACGCUGAGGUACGAAAGCAUGGGGAGCAAACAGGAUUAGAUACCCUGGUAGUCCAUGCAGUAAACGAUGUCUACUAGCCGUUGGGGCCUUUGAGGCUUUAGUGGCGCAGCUAACGCGAUAAGUAGACCGCCUGGGGAGUACGGUCGCAAGACUAAA